This 480-nucleotide ribosomal RNA is filed under the name uncultured bacterium. Its description in RNAcentral is "bacterial SSU rRNA". It matches the Rfam family "Bacterial small subunit ribosomal RNA", at positions 32 to 520 of the family's 1533-position model. The record is from RNAcentral.
AAUCAACGCUGGCGGCGUGCCUCAGACAUGCAAGUCGAACGAUUAAAGCUCUCUUCGGAGAGUGCAUAGAGUGGCGCACGGGUGAGUAACACGUAAGUAAUCUACCUUCGAGUGGGGAAUAACAACCGGAAACGGUUGCUAAUACCGCAUAAUGCAGCGGCAUCGCAAGAUGACAGUUGUUAAAGGAGCAAUUCGCUUGAAGAGGAGCUUGCGGCAGAUUAGCUAGUUGGUAAGGUAAUGGCUUACCAAGGCUACGAUCUGUAACCGGUCUUAGAGGACGGUCGGUCACACUGACACUGAACAACGGGUCAGACUCCUACGGGAGGCAGCAGUCGGGAAUUUUGGGCAAUGGGCGAAAGCCUGACCCAGCAACGCCGCGUGAAGGAUGAAGUAUUUCGGUAUGUAAACUUCGAAAGAAUGGGAAGAAUAAAUGACGGUACCAUUUAUAAGGUCCGGCUAACUACGUGCCAGCAGCCGCGG